CGCGCUAAUCAGUGACCGGGGCUGGUUUUUUAUAUACAGUCAGGUACCUGAAGUAGCGCGCG
Molecule: microRNA precursor, 62 nt
Filed under: Drosophila melanogaster (fruit fly)
Lineage: Eukaryota; Metazoa; Arthropoda; Insecta; Diptera; Drosophilidae
Also listed under: 2 other names
Description: Dme-Mir-275_pre stem-loop
Rfam family: mir-275 microRNA precursor family
Source: RNAcentral